RNAcentral lists this ribosomal RNA (1234 nucleotides) under metagenome. RNAcentral describes it as "bacterial SSU rRNA". It matches the Rfam family "Bacterial small subunit ribosomal RNA", at positions 261 to 1520 of the family's 1533-position model. The record is from RNAcentral.
CGGCCCACCAAGGCGACGAUCGGUAGCCGGACUGAGAGGUUGAACGGCCACAUUGGGACUGAGACACGGCCCAGACUCCUACGGGAGGCAGCAGUGGGGAAUAUUGCACAAUGGGGGAAACCCUGAUGCAGCGACGCCGCGUGGAGGAAGAAGGUCUUCGGAUUGUAAACUCCUGUUGUUGAGGAAGAUAAUGACGGUACUCAACAAGGAAGUGACGGCUAACUACGUGCCAGCAGCCGCGGUAAAACGUAGGUCACAAGCGUUGUCCGGAAUUACUGGGUGUAAAGGGAGCGCAGGCGGGAAGACAAGUUGGAAGUGAAAUCCAUGGGCUCAACCCAUGAACUGCUUUCAAAACUGUUUUUCUUGAGUAGUGCAGAGGUAGGCGGAAUUCCCGGUGUAGCGGUGGAAUGCAUAGAUAUUGGGAGGAACACCAGUGGCGAAGGCGGCCUACUGGGCACCAACUGACGCUGAGGCUCGAAAGUGUGGGUAGCAAACAGGAUUAGAUACCCUGGUAGUCCACACUGUAAACGAUGAUUUCUAGGUGUUGGAGGAUUGACCCCUUCUGUGCCGCAGUUAACACAAUAAGUAAUCCACCUGGGGAGUACGACCGCAAGGUUGAAACUCAAAGGAAUUGACGGGGGCCCGCACAAGCAGUGGAGUAUGUGGUUUAAUUCGACGCAACGCGAAGAACCUUACCAAGUCUUGACAUCCUGCGACGCACAUAGAAAUAUGUGUUUCCUUCGGGACGCAGAGACAGGUGGUGCAUGGUUGUCGUCAGCUCGUGUCGUGAGAUGUUGGGUUAAGUCCCGCAACGAGCGCAACCCUUAUGGUCAGUUACUACGCAAGAGGACUCUGGCCAGACUGCCGUUGACAAAACGGAGGAAGGUGGGGAUGACGUCAAAUCAUCAUGCCCUUUAUGACUUGGGCUACACACGUACUACAAUGGCGUUAAACAAAGAGAAGCGAGACCGCGAGGUGGAGCAAAACUCAGAAACAACGUCCCAGUUCGGACUGCAGGCUGCAACUCGCCUGCACGAAGUCGGAAUUGCUAGUAAUCGCAGAUCAGCAUGCUGCGGUGAAUACGUUCCCGGGCCUUGUACACACCGCCCGUCACACCAUGAGAGCCGGGGGGACCCGAAGUCGGUAGUCUAACCGCAAGGAGGACGCCGCCGAAGGUAAAACUGGUGAUUGGGGUGAAGUCGUAACAAGGUAGCCGUAGGAGAACCUGCGGCUG